Molecule: ribosomal RNA, 161 nt
Filed under: Triticum aestivum (bread wheat)
Lineage: Eukaryota; Viridiplantae; Streptophyta; Magnoliopsida; Poales; Poaceae
Description: rRNA SSU_rRNA_eukarya
Rfam family: Eukaryotic small subunit ribosomal RNA
Source: Rfam by way of RNAcentral
CACCGCCCGUCGCUCCUACCGAUUGAAUGGUCUGGUGAAGUGUUCGGAUCGCGGCGACCGGGGCGGUUCGCCGCCCCCGACGUCGCGAGAAGUCCAUUGAACCUUAUCAUUUAGAGGAAGGAGAAGUCGUAACAAGGUUUCCGUAGGUGAACCUGCGGAAG